CAGCAGUUCUCAACUUGUGGGUCAGGACCACAGAAUGGGUCAUGUCCCCAUUUUAAUGGGGGUGCCAGGGCUAGCUUAGACUUGCUGGGACCUGGGGCAGAAGCCUGAAACUUACUGCUUGAG
This is a long non-coding RNA of Gopherus evgoodei (Goodes thornscrub tortoise), 123 nucleotides long. RefSeq lists it as uncharacterized. The transcript is spliced from 3 exons. The record is from RefSeq and is a predicted model, not a curated record. Lineage: Eukaryota; Metazoa; Chordata; Testudines; Testudinidae.